CCAGAUCCUGUCCUUUUCUUUAAAGAACACGUCUCGUCUGUUUUUGUUGUAACUUCUCAGCUGUCGUUUUUUGGCUUUUUUACAGCAUUCUUCAGCUUGUGAUUUUAACUGGGCUAGUUGAUUUACCACAUCAUAGGAUGGAUUUGAUGGUGAGAGAUUUUUACCCUGAAGUAUCUUGUCCAUGGGGCCUUGUAAUUUUCUUCCUAGCUGGAGCUCCGCAGGGGACAUGCCAGUGCUUUCUUGAACGGCUGAGUUAAGAGCAAAACGAAGCUCAGUUCUUUGAAUAUGGAAGAGACAAACUGAGUUCCCCGGUCAGACAAGAUGAAGUCCGGUACUCCAUAUCGGGUGAGGAUUUCCGUUCGGAGAAUCGUUGCUAUGGUGCUCGCAAUUGCAGUGCGCAUUGGAAAGAGCUCAACCCAUCGAGAGAAAUAAUCCACAAAAACUAGAAGGUCUUGAAUAUGCCACCAUGACCGCUUAGAGGAUUGGAGUGGUAGUAUUGAAGGACAGAUGGAAUGAGACUGCGAGGGAGGUACACCCUGUAGUGGACUUGGUCCUUUGUUAGAUGGUUGCAGCAGUGACUGGCAAUUCAUCAGUGUCCGUCUGGCUGGAGUAUAGGUUACAUCCUGAUAUGCUGGGAACUCUAGAAAGAGCAUCAGGUGCCACAUUAAGUUUCCCUUUCCUGUAUUCAAUGAUGAAAUCAAACUUUUGCAACCUUAAGGCCCAUCUGACGAGGCGACUGGUGGACUUUGGGGAGCUCAUAACCCACUGGAGAGCCAUGUGGUCUGUAACUACGGUGAACAUGCGAUACUCCAAGUAAUGCUGCCACUUUUCAAGUGCCCAUAUGACUGCAAGACACUCUUUCUCUGUUGCGGUGUAAUUUCUUUCAGCCUUAUUCAGUGCUCUACUUGCAUAAGCAAUAACUACUUCCAUUCCCUGGUCCUUCCUUUGUGUUAGCACAGCUCCAAGACCUGUGUCGCUGGCAUCAGUGUGCACCAUGAAGGGUAACUGGAGGUUUGGAUGGCUCAGGAUGGGAGGUGAAGUAAGCGCAUUUAUGGGUUCAGCAAUUUGAGAAAAAUUAGGAACAAAGCGGUGGUACCAACCGGCUAGUCCCAGGAAGCGCUGGACCUCUUUGAUGUCUCGUGGCACAGGGUUGAUAGUCAGUCCAGCCUCCUGAAGCUUAAGAAGGACUGAUUGGAGAUCGUUGAAGUGCUGAGCCACUGAUGUAGCCACUAUUUAGGUCGAUGGUUGUGAAGAUUGCUUAACCGGAGAGUGAUUCGAGUAUCUCAGUUAUAUUUGGAAUUGGGCGAUGCCCAGCCAGAGUGUGAUGGUUCCACAAUUCCUGCUUUCACCAUUUCUUCAAGCUGCUCUUUUACAACAAACUGCUUGGCAGGUGACAUGCGAUGCCGCUAUGAAUGCAGGUUGGGGUGGAGGAAUAGAACUUAAUAGUGAGAGGGAUGGGUUAAGUGUCCUCGGAGGCUGCUCUGGUUGCUGGCCUGAAGGGCUAGGUAUGCAGUAAGGAACUUCAGGUACACUGGCAUUACCAGGUUGAAAAGGAUACUCCUCUUGUGGAGUAAUCUUGAAUGAAUAUUUUCUAUCAAUGACAUUUAUUUGUAAGCCACUGAAGUAAAUGAAAUCCAACCCGAGAAUCACAGCGUAUGCAAGUGCUUGGGGGGACAGGAUAGCAACAGGUAGAGUAAAAGUUUGGUCAUGCAUAUUGAUUUGCAAUUGAACCCAUCCUAAUGGGACUUCUGCUUCACCAUUUGCUAGGUACAGUGGACCAAGUGACCAAGGCUUGAGUUCUCCUGGCAAGAAGAGCUUUCUCCACAGGCUUUCGUGGAUCAUGGUAUAGCUUGCACCUGUAUCUAGAAUGGCCUUUCCAAACCAGCUGCCAAUACUAACUGGAACGAUAAGCUGUUGAGGAAUGAUAGCAGGAGGGACAGGGGCUGGUUUAGAGGGUGUUUUCCGUAAAUUCUUAGAAUUUGAUGUUUGGUUUGUUGUGGCCGUGAUAAAAUUGUUUGUGGCUUGACCUCCAGGUUUAUGAGGCUGAAACGGGCGUGGAUUGGACUGGUGUUGUUUUGCGGAUUGGUUUGUGGUUAGGGAGGCAUAAUUUGGACAGUAACCAGGUGAGUGGUUUCCUUUACAUCUCCAGCAUUGAACUUGUGGUUUUUCAGGUUGCUUGUUACUGGUGGUUUUUUGUGACACUUCAGAUUGUAGUUUUCGGCCCAUGCACAUUUCAUAUUGCAACUGCAGCUCAUGGUCUUUCUCCAGUUGGUGUCCUAGCUUUACCAGCUCUUCCACAGUGCUUACACGUCCGCGUAACUGACUGGCUAGUACGUACUCUCUCAGCCAGCUCGUCUUCAUAAUCUUCAGAAAGAAAAGUGGACAAAAAAAAAGUCUCAAACUCACUCCAUGUCGUUACUGAAGAGCGAGCAACCUCCCACCAGUCACAUGCUGUGCCAUGAAGUACACUUCGGAAGGUUGCCAACAAGUCACUUUCUGCAAGAGGAUGCAAUGCUAAAAAGUCCUGACAUCGUGUUAGAUACAGCAGAGGAUCGGCGUCAUCAGAUGGUCUUCCAAAAGUGGGAAAGGUCAACUUUAAAUGGUCACUUUUUCCAGCAGGAAUAGGAUGACAUUCUGGGACCUUUUCUAGCGGUGACGGGGGUGCGUUCUUUUAGUUGAGUGCUUAGCUUGUCAACCUGAGUGAUCCAACGAUUACACUCAGUGGAGAGCUGCUCAUGCUCCUUUUGAAGGUUCUUUUGUGUAGCUCUGAUGUCUCUCUGAAGUUCAACCUGAAGUUGCUCCACCAUGAAACGGACUUCAGCAAUCAAGUUAACGUUGUGAGAAUUUGUUGUUUGCUGGCAUCGAUUUUGGAAGUCAGGUCUACAAGUUGCUUUUCAUGAUGGGAUGUAGCCAUUUUUUGCUCCUGGGAGUUGGGAGGUAACCAGGCAGGCGAUGCUGUGAUACUGAGGAAGAUGGGGUAGUUUCAGUGAAUGUGGAUGUGCAAAGUUGCAUAGGUUCUGGCUGAAAUGAAAUCGCUCCACCUGGAGGGGCAGAAGCAAAGUGCACCUGAGAUCUGGGAUGGGGACUGCUGAACGGAGUUGGUGUGGAGUGAAAGGUGGGAAACUGAGGUGGGGGAACGGGCCUUGGUUGCACCGUUGUCCAGACUGGAGUUGCUAUGUCUGGGGGUGGUUCAAUUUCCACAGUAGUCGAUGGUGAAGGAGGGCUAGUGGCCAUGGCUUUAUGGUGUUGUGUAUAUAAUUAGUAAAUUAAAUGAGUAACUUGGAAUUACUGUGGCCUUUUUGUUUCUUUUUGUUGGGGGUUAAAAUAAAAAUAAGAAAAAAAAAAAAGUACAAAAGGGACCGAGUACAAUUUCCAGUCACAGUUUAACACUUUCCACAAUUUUUUUUUUUUUCAAAACACACACAAAAUGAUCAGAGUACUCCCUGAUCAGAAACACCCACAAUUUUCAAGAUUAAAGUUUAAACGAGAAAUGUUCUAAUGCAUGUGACACAUUUUCAAGUUCCAGGGAAAUAUUCAGGUUCAGAUCAAUGUAAAUGCUUGAGUUCAAGUCGUUCAAGUCCCUGUUCGGGCGCCACUUCUGUAACGGUGGCACGCCCUAGUGACCUUUUGGAAACAGUAUCUAUUUCAUAGUUCGGGCGCCAGACAGGAUUUUGGCCUGUCACCAAUUAAAUAUCAAAAUCCCGUGAUAACCCAGGGAGAUUUUUUAAAAUACCACAGUUACUCAAACUACAUGGGUUGCUUGUACAGUAGUUAAUAGAAGACAAACA
Long non-coding RNA from Carassius gibelio (silver crucian carp), 3788 nucleotides. RefSeq lists it as uncharacterized. The record is from RefSeq and is a predicted model, not a curated record. The transcript is spliced from 13 exons. NCBI's taxonomy places the organism in Eukaryota, Metazoa, Chordata, Actinopteri, Cypriniformes, Cyprinidae.